Peromyscus maniculatus bairdii (prairie deer mouse) is the source of this 172-nucleotide non-coding RNA. Lineage: Eukaryota; Metazoa; Chordata; Mammalia; Rodentia; Cricetidae. The record is from RefSeq and is a predicted model, not a curated record.
AACUUUCAAUCAUUGUAGAAGGAAGGAUCAAGACAUUCCAAGACAAAGCAAGAUUUAAACAAUACCUAUCCAAAAACCCAGCCCUACAGAAAGCACUAGAAGGAAAAUUCCAACAAUAAAAAGUCAGAUACACACUCAAAAACACUGUCUUUAGAUAUAGCCACAACAAUAA